RNAcentral lists this long non-coding RNA (6613 nucleotides) under Sus scrofa (pig). RNAcentral's name for it is "lncRNA (ENSSSCG00040020299.1)". Lineage: Eukaryota; Metazoa; Chordata; Mammalia; Artiodactyla; Suidae. The record is from RNAcentral.
UUUUUUUUUUUUUUUUUUUUUUUUUGUAAUCCAUGUUCCAAUAUUUGAAACAGAGUGGAUGGUAAAUAUGGCUCAGCCUGACUUUUAUCUGAUAAAACUUCAAAGAGGAAAAAUGUCACCAUCCUUAUCGGCCAAGUGAAUUCCACACUCAACUCGUUGGCAAGGUAGGGGAAUGACAAAAUGUUUUAUCUGUUUUGAGUCCUGAAGGGCAUUUUCCUGCUUUAUUCUGGCGGCUCUAAACCUGUCUAAAACGUAAGUCAAAAUAAAGAUGUGUUUGGUUCAGCCUCAGAGAGACAGAGGUUACUGCAGAUAUGAAUUUGAAAGAGACACCACUCUCCACGCCAACUGCUAUUCUUUUCCAAGAAGAGACCCCUUGUAAGGUCCCGAUAAAAAUCAGGAAUCAAACCUCAAGAUAAGAACCGCUUUUUAAGUGCUUGAUUUCCAAAUACGAGCAAAUCUGCCUCUGCCCAUCUCUAUGCCUAGCAAGGCACCGUGCAGCUGAAAUCAUUUCUUCCUUGUCUGCCUUCUCAGGAGCUGUGUGGAGGGCUACAGCUGGACAGAGAGCCCUCCCUUGACAGGAGAGCAGCACCUGCCAGGUACAGCAGGUCCCUGAAUCCUAGGCUGGGCAUUACAUGCUUUUCACUGAAGCGUCUCAUUUAAUUCUUCAACAACCACGUGGUGCUGACAUCACCUGUCUAUUACAGGUGUGGCAAGGGGUGAAGUAACGUGGCCAGGAGUUCCUGAGUGGUGCGGUGGUUAACGAAUCCAACGAGGAACCAUGAGGAACUUCCCUGAUGCUUCUUUUAGAAAUGAAUCCCUUAAAACUGAACAGCUUGGCGUCCUUCCUUGUCUUUCUCCCUGACUUAAUCGCAUCCUAAACACAAUCACUAGUAAGCUAAAAAUUAGGCACCCUGAGCACAAUUGCUUGUGGGUUAAAGGCGUUUUUCAGGAACUUUCCUAGUUUGUUCUAAUCUCUAAUCAAUACUCCCUUUUCACAAGUACUGUUAUUCUGGCCAAGAACCCAGAAAACCAUCAUCGUGAUCAUGCUGAGAUCUCCUGACUCCAGCUUUGAUGAUUAAGAUGCCCCCAAAGAAAGAAGAAUGAAUGCAUGUUUGUCCCAAUCCUGAUUCCCAUCUGAAAACCUGUUUUGCUCCUUUUUGCUAUAAACUCCCCGCAAUUCUUCCCAAUGGAGGGCACAGUCUUUAGGGCAUGAGCCUGCUGUGGCCUCCUUUGCCUGGCGAAGCAAUAAAUUCUUUUUCUCCUCCACCCAAAACUCUGUGUCCAUGUUUCUAUUCUGCACCAGUAGAUGGAGGCUGAGUUUCAGCAACACUUACCUGGGAAUAUUUAAGGGGGAACAGGAAGGAAGGCAAAAAGGUGACUACUUCACAUGCUUAUAGCGUCUGCAUUUCUUUCAUCACACCUUAAAUGCACCUUAAAUGUCACGCCAAUUUAGGAUUGGCACUUGCCAUCAGCCUCUACAAGGAUUAAACCAUGAGCCACUGCAGCUGCCGAUCCUCCACGCCCCCUGAAAGGAGCUCAGGGUGGAGAGAGGAAGGAGGUGCUCUGUGCUCCAGGAAAACUGGCAGAACAGGUCUUCGGAGAGUUAGAUAUUUUCAGGAGAUUUAAUGAGCCCAAUUCUUGCAUCUCUUUAGAUCUUCCAGCACUAAAAUCCUGCGUGGUGACCCUGAGCCUCGUGACUAGCAGCAUCCUUUCGUGAAAAUGUGUGCUUGGUUGCCUGCCCCUCCUGCUUCACCAAAAUCACACAUAUACUGACUUUCCACCACCUCUUUAGAGCGCUCUGAAAUACCGCUUCAUUUUGCCCCAAAUAAAACUUAACGCAUAACUCUCACAUUGUGCUUUUUUUCCCCCCCAAUCAGGUGGCCUAUGUGGUUCCCAUUUUACAGAUGAAAACUUGAGACUCGGAAAACUUGCUUAAGACGGGGACAUGCUGCCCUAGAAGGUGGUCCACCAAUGACAAUUUCCUCAUCCUGCGUCUCCACUCCGUGGGCCUGGAAAUGGGCAGUGGAAAUCCAAGUAUGACUGAUUACUUCCUUUCAUAGGACUCAUGGGGACCCAGGAAAGGUGACGCCACUCGGAUAUAUUUAGAGUGUGCUCAGCGGAUGUCUGCAACAGCAAGAGACUCCCUGAAAACCUCCAGCAGCUGACAGGAGAAGAGGCAUCUUUAAAACUCAGGGGUUCCUGAUUCUUAAGAAUAAAGACAAAGUCCUGGUGGUGUGGAGUCGUCUUCAACCUAAAAGGAAUCUUAGGCAUGGAAACAGAGAAUGAAUUCCCUGAAAUGGCAGAGAAAGAAGGCUGGCCCAAGUCACAAGAGGAGUCCGGCUUUGAAACGGAGCAUGAGGACUUGGACGUGCCUUCAAAAAAACAGCUAACACUUCAAAAAAAAAAAAAAAAUCUUAAAACCUUGUGCCACAUUCUAUAGACAGCAUGGAAACAUGAGUGGCUUUCUUUGGCAGCGAUAACCCAUACGGGAUGAAAGAAGGGAAGAAAGAAAGAGGAGGUGAAAUAUGUUCCAUUUCAGGAGCGAUAACAGGAGGCUGAAUUAUCCAGAUAAUUAUCUCAAUCCCUACUUCAGGUUUUUCAAUGUGGAAAGACUUCACUGGAGACCAUCUCCCUUUAACAACCGCUGAGCAUAAUUUAGGGGGAAAAAAAAUCUACUAAUGACCCUCCAUUCAAAAGGUUUUAGAAGGAGCCGUGGGUGGCAUAUUUAAAUGAUAAUGAAAUACCACCAGGCUGGGGGAAGCCACAGAUUACCUAAUAGGCAGCGUUUUCUCCAUUAAUGAUGACUCGUAGAGUAAGCCUGUCAGAAAAAUGAGAAUAAGAAUGAAAAGCCUUCUUCCCCCUACCCCUGAAUUUCUGACGAGAGGAUCUUCUGUGAAUAAAACAGAAGGGAAGAGGGGAUCAGACCCUGAAACAGAUCAAGACUCGUUUUCCUAGCUGCCCACUGGAAAAUGUCGCUUCUCCCGUUUGAUGGCUUUUAAAGUAAAAUCCUGAUCAGCUAGAAAUCACCAUCAGAUGUAGUUUGGCAUUGAAAGGAACCACGGUCUUCUCCUAAAGGGAAGACGCCAACUCCGGGAGGAUUAAAACGCUACAAAAGUUUUGCAGAUGUUCUGUAUUCAAAGCACCUGAUUUCAUCAGAUUUCUCAUUAGAAACAAGUGUCCCCAUCAAUGCAGGAUAAAGCGUUCCUCUCACACCACAUGAAUACAAAAUGUCAAGGUGAUUAGCAUAGGCGAGUCCAUGAGCAGCACAGAACAGAAACAGCUCUGAUAAGGUUCCUAUCUCUAAAUUUGAAGAUAUGCACAGGAGAGAUUUAUCAAAGACCAAACACAUCUCUCAGAAGCAUUUGGAGGAAUAAAUGUUCUGUUCGGAGGAAACAGAUGAGGACGUGCAUUCUGAAGCCCAGACAGGUACACUUAAUCCCUAAAGGACAUCUAUUUGAUGCUCUUGGCAAAGACCCCCUGAAUUCAUUAUCUCCUCCACCCCAGUGGCUCAGAUGGGCCCCUUAGACAUGGGAGUCGUCUUCUUCAUUCAAACACAUACACACACACAACCAUUAGUGUACACGGGAACAUAUAAAAAAUAAAAAGUAUCGAUCAUGGAUUGUGUGUGGGCAUGCUGUAUAUAUGAUACGUAUAAAAAGAAACGAGAUUAGGAAGAGCAAACAACAAUCAACUAUGUUUCAAAAAUCCUAAAGCACAGAUACACAUGCGAACGUGCGGAAAAAUGUGGGAUUCUUCAUUUUCGCCUGCCCUUAAUCCCAUCUCUGAUUCAUAUCAUUGCCACCUGUGGAAUACAGUGAUAGUUUAUUUAUAUAUGUCCGCAGCCAGUGCACCAGUCCUUGUCCAGAAGGUCACCCUCUCUCACCAGCAGCCUUGCGAUCCUUUGACAGGCAAAGAGCCCACCUUCACUCCACGGCAAAGACGGGCUUUGGUGAUUUUCCAAAUCCAAAUCCUCUUCAAAUCUAGCACAAAAUCCCUAAUAUGCCCCAUAGCGGCAGUGGCAGGUGGUGGUGGGGGGAUAGAAUAAUACCUCCCCCUCCCCCAAAGAUGUCUAUAUCCUCAUUGCUGGAACCUGUGAAUAUUUUAUGUCUCUCAAGGCAAAGGGGAUUACGGUUGCAGAUGGAAUUAAGGUUGCUAAUCAGUUGACUUUAAGAUGAAGAGCUUCUUCUGGAUUAUCUAACCGGGUUUAGUAUAAUCAGAGAAUCCUUAAAAGUGGAAAGAGAGGCAGAAGGAGUUGGGUUCAGAGUGAUUAGCUGUGAAAAAGACUCGGCUCUUCACUGCUGGCGCUGGAGAUGCAAGAGGACCAGGAGCCAAGGAAUGCAGGCCGCCUCCAGCUGCCGGGACAAGGCCAAACAACACAUUCUCCCCUGUUGCCUCCAAAGGGGGCGUAGCCCUACCGACACCUUGGUUUUAGUCCAGAGAGGACCAUCUCAGACUUCUGACCUCCAGAAUGAAAAGAUGAUGGCUUGUGUUAAGUCACCAGGUUUGUGAUCAUGUGUUACAGCUAAUAGGACAUUCAUGCAUAUGCCCUCUAAGGCCCUACAGAGGCUGGGUCGUGCCUGGCUCUGCAGCUUCAUUUUCAACCCCUUUCUGUUCAUCCCUGGCCUUGUGUCUUCUGGGUUUUCUCAUGGAUGUGCUGUCACAUGUUCGGUCAAGAUGGGGUUACCUCCCCAUUGAAGGCUCCUCUUUCCCAGCCUCCUCCUGCUCACACUGUACAGGUGAGCAAUGCCUGGUUUUCCCGCAACCCCUAUCCUUCCUGAAUCCUCAUUGCGGAGAGUCCGACGCCCUUAUUCCAUGAUCCCUUAGCACCCCAAACCUUCAUCACACUCGUUAGCACUUCUGAUAGGGAUGGAGUAGGAAAGUAGUUACACAGGUAGUCAAAGACGUCCCAGGAGGCACCAGAGAUAGAGAGAAAAACUUAGGGAACCUUGGGAGCCCACUGCAAGCUAAUAAUUGCUCAAGAGGCGUUCCCACUACCUCUCAGCAGCAACAAACCUGACCAGUAUCCAUGAGGAUGUGGGUUCGAUCCCUGGCCUUGCUCCGUGGGUUAAGGAUCCGGCAUUGCUGUGAGCUGCAAUGUAGCUCAACGAUGUGGCUUGGAUCUGGUGCAGCUGUGGCUGUGGUGUAGGCUGGCAGCUGCAGCUCUGAUGUGACCCCUAGCCUGGGAACUUCCAUGUGCUACAGGUGUGGCCCUAAAAUGACAAUAAUAAUAAUAAUCACUCAAGAAAGCCAUCAGAAUAAAGCACACCUGCUGAUCUAUAAAAGUAGGAGACCCUCAUUAUACAGAAAGCUGAGAUGAUUCAACAUAUUUUGGCAUCUGUUACCCCCUCCUGCUGAUUUGAGUAAGUGCCAUGACAGUGCCAGGGUGACCGUGUAGGAUCAAACACUCUCUUAGAGGAUGUGAAGGAGGAGCUAGCGAUGGAAGCUUGGCAUCCAGUUGAAGGAAGAAGGCGGUCUGUUCUCCCUCCCCACGUUCCUUGCAUGAUAAAAAUGUAGCCCACCUGAUCCUGGGGGCACCGCUUCUUUGCCUGCCCACCUGUUAUCUCUCACAAGCAUCCUAUCUUAAUAAAUCUAUGUCUUGCCUAGCCCUUUGUCUCUCGCUGAAUUCCUUCUGCGCUGAGACACAAAGAACCUGAACCACUGUAAGUUCUGAUGCUAGGUGAGUGAUUCUAAUUAAGAAAAACAAAACAAAACAAACAACAAACAAACAAAAGCAUGGGUUCAAGUCCCCCUCUGGGUGUAGGCUGGGUUCAAGUCAGCGGUGUUGUUGGUUUCGUUUCCUCAAAUCCUGAAAGACUCAUCCUGCUUGGCAGGGCACAUCCCUGGUUUUAGGGUGAAAGUCCCACCCUUAGGAAAGCCCUCCAUUCUGGGAAGUCUGGGGGAUCUGAGCACCUCAUCAAGUCUGCCUUUCUCAGCAGCACAGGGUCCGGUAUACAACAGGAACUCAAUAAAAGAUUCGUGAAUCAAAGGAUGUGAAUUUUCUUCACGUUUGACGGCAUGCUCAUUUCUCGAAUAUUCCCUUUUACUCCUGACUCUCUCCUAUCUGGUCAUCUAAGUUUGGCCCUAGCAAGUAUAUCCUGGGUGUUACCUAAUUCUGUGUUUACGGCAAUGACUAGGGCUCGUCCUGCCACCAGCCUUCCUAGCAGACCACCCUUUGUUGUCUCCUCUUAUGAGAAUGGGUUCCUGACUCAAUCAUCCCGUGAAGCCAAUCUUUACUGUGUACCUACCUCCAAAGCAAAUGUUAACAUGCCUGUGAAUAAAUUUCUAUAGGGUUUGAAAUGCGCUGGGCUCUCAAAAAUGAACAUACAUUCUGAUAAUGGUACCAUCUUUGAAAAGUUGGUUCUUUGAAGAAGAAUUAACUUUUUCUGGUCUCUUGGGUGCUAUUUUGUGUCUUAAAAGGGGAAUGGAUUCAGAAUUAUGGGGCCAGGUAUUCUCUGCUGGGGAUUUCUAACCUUUGAAGCACUCCUUUUUUUAAAAAAAAAAAAAAGCAAUAACUUAAGUUUCACUCCGUGAUGAAGUCUCACAAUGUUUUUUUGGGGGGGAGGGUUCCCAACGUUCAAGUUAUAUCUAUAAAAGGCUGUGGUUUGCAAAUGUU